AGAACGAACGCUGGCGGCAUGCCUAACACAUGCAAGUCGAACGUGAUCCAGGCUUCGGCCUGGUGAAGGUGGCAGACGGGUGAGUAACGCGUGGGAACCUGCCCUGUGGUAGGGAAUAACCGUGGGAAACUGCGGCUAAUACCCUAUGAGUCCUUCGGGAGAAAGAUUUAUCGCCAUAGGAGGGGCCCGCGUCGGAUUAGGUAGUUGGUGGGGUAACGGCCUACCAAGCCUUCGAUCCGUAGCUGGUCUGAGAGGAUGAUCAGCCACACUGGGACUGAGAUACGGCCCAGACUCCUACGGGAGGCAGCAGUGGGGAAUAUUGGACAAUGGGGGCAACCCUGAUCCAGCAAUGCCGCGUGAGUGAUGAAGGCCUUCGGGUUGUAAAGCUCUUUCGCACGCGACGAUGAUGACGGUAGCGUGAGAAGAAGCCCGCUAACUCGUGCCAGCAGCCGC
This 453-nucleotide ribosomal RNA is filed under the name uncultured bacterium. RNAcentral describes it as "SSU rRNA". It matches the Rfam family "Bacterial small subunit ribosomal RNA", at positions 26 to 518 of the family's 1533-position model. The record is from RNAcentral.